GUGGGGUAACGGCCUACCAAGGCUAUGACGGGUAGCUGACGUGAGAGCGUGAGCAGCCACACUGGGACUGAGACACGGCCCAGACUCCUACGGGAGGCAGCAGUGGGGAAUAUUGCGCAAUGGGCGAAAGCCUGACGCAGCGACGCCGCGUGGGGGAGGAAGGCCUUAGGGUUGUAAACCCCUGUCAGGUGGGACGAACCCCGGGUCGGUUAAUAAUCGGCUCGACUGACGGUACCACCAGAGGAAGCCCCGGCUAACUCCGUGCCAGCAGCCGCGGUAAUACGGAGGGAGCGAGCGUUGUUCGGAAUCACUGGGCGUAAAGGGCGCGUAGGCGGCCGAGUAAGUCGUGUGUGAAAGACCGGGGCUCAACUCCGUGUACUGCAUGCGAUACUGCCCGGCUAGAGAAAGGUAGAGGCGAGUGGAAUUCCCGGUGUAGCGGUGGAAUGCGUAGAUAUCGGGAAGAACACCUGUGGCGAAGGCGGCUCGCUGGGCCUUUUCUGACGCUGAAGUGCGAAAGCGUGGGGAGCAUACAGGAUUAAAUACCCUGGUAGUCCACGCCGUAAACGAUGGGCACUAGGCGUUGGGAGGAUUGACCCUCUCAGUGCCGUAGCUAACGCGUUAAGUG
This 625-nucleotide ribosomal RNA is filed under the name uncultured Actinomycetes bacterium. Its description in RNAcentral is "bacterial SSU rRNA". It matches the Rfam family "Bacterial small subunit ribosomal RNA", at positions 252 to 866 of the family's 1533-position model. The record is from RNAcentral. Lineage: Bacteria; Bacillati; Actinomycetota; Actinomycetes.